GCUCGAUUAGCUCAGUUGGUAGAGCGCCGUCAUGACAUGGCGGAUGUCGUUGGUUCAAGCCCAACAUCGAGCACCA
RNAcentral lists this transfer RNA (76 nucleotides) under Cellvibrionales bacterium. RNAcentral describes it as "tRNA-Val". It matches the Rfam family "tRNA". From Rfam's summary of the family: Transfer RNA (tRNA) molecules are approximately 80 nucleotides in length. Lineage: Bacteria; Pseudomonadati; Pseudomonadota; Gammaproteobacteria; Cellvibrionales. RNAcentral also lists the same sequence under 2 other names. The record is from RNAcentral.